CACGGCCCAAACUCCUACGGGAGGCAGCAGUGGGGAAUAUUGGACAAUGGGCGCAAGCCUGAUCCAGCCAUGCCGCGUGAGUGAUGAAGGCCUUAGGGUUGUAAAGCUCUUUUGUCAGGGAAGAUAAUGACGGUACC
This 137-nucleotide ribosomal RNA is filed under the name Anaplasma phagocytophilum. RNAcentral's name for it is "partial 16S ribosomal RNA". It matches the Rfam family "Bacterial small subunit ribosomal RNA", at positions 325 to 479 of the family's 1533-position model. The record is from RNAcentral. Lineage: Bacteria; Pseudomonadati; Pseudomonadota; Alphaproteobacteria; Rickettsiales; Anaplasmataceae.